AUGAACGCUGGGCGGCGUGCUUAACACAUGCAAGUCGCACGAGAACGCUUCCGCUUGCAGAAGCUAGUAAAGUGGCGCACGGGUGAGUAACGCGUGGGUAAUCUACCUUCGAAUCGGGGAUAACAUUGCGAAAGCGAUGCUAAUACCGGAUGAUAUCUAAUGGACUUCGGACCAUAGGAUCAAAGGUGGCCUCUAUAUAUAAGCUUCCGUUUGAAGAUGAGCCCGCGUACCAUUAGCUUGUUGGUAGGGUAAUGGCCUACCAAGGCAACGAUGGUUAGCUGGUCUGAGAGGAUGAUCAGCCACACUGGAACUGACACACGGUCCAGACUCCUACGGGAGGCAGCAGUGAGGAAUUUUGCGCAAUGGGGGAAACCCUGACGCAGCAACGCCGCGUGAGUGAUGAAGGCCUUCGGGUCGUAAAGCUCUGUCAAGUGGGAAGAACCUAUUGGAUGUUAAUACCAUCCAGUACUGACGGUACCACUGAAGGAAGCACCGGCUAACUCCGUGCCAGCAGCCGCGGUAAUACGGGGGGUGCAAGCGUUAUUCGGAAUUAUUGGGCGUAAAGAGCGCGUAGGCGGCCUCUUAAGUCAGAUGUGAAAGCCCGGGGCUCAACCUCGGAAGUGCAUUUGAAACUAAGGGACUUGAGUAUGGGAGAGGGAAGUGGAAUUCCUGGUGUAGAGGUGAAAUUCGUAGAUAUCAGGAGGAACACCGGUGGCGAAGGCGACUUCCUGGACCAAUACUGACGCUGAGGCGCGAAGGCGUGGGGAGCAAACAGGCCUUUUGCCCUGGUAGUC
Molecule: ribosomal RNA, 794 nt
Filed under: uncultured bacterium
Lineage: Bacteria
Description: bacterial SSU rRNA
Rfam family: Bacterial small subunit ribosomal RNA
Source: RNAcentral